AAUUUAUUCAAAAUCUUCUACGUGAGAAGAAAAAAUCUCUCGCUGUGGCCUUCAAUUAGACAUUUCGAUAUAUCGAUGACGUUUUGUCUAUUUUAAUUAUAACUUUCAUUCAUAUCACUGUCAUGAUCGUGUGCAGGAUUGGACAAAACAAGAUGGCAGACGGCAUUUCCAAACAAAGAUCCAGUCAGGAGCGGACUUCCUUAAACUUAAAAGUUGCAAGUGAAUGAAGUGUGUUCUAUUUUAUGUCUCCUACUAAAACCAUGGUUUUGACAAACCUAGAAGAGCACGUGGAGCAAGGAACUAUCAGUAAGCCGGAAGAGCCAGCUCAAAAAUCUUUAAGUGUUUGAGAAUUUCACCGCGCACAUGAGUCUAAAGUUCUGCCACACGCUAGAAGGAGCCUUGUUCUCGGAGAUCAACAUGUUGAAAAGUCUUCAUUUUGCAGAAGCAAAUACAUUUAUAUUGUAUAUACACGUGUAGACCAUGUUCGAUUCCCAACCACUUAAAAUUUGUGAUAUCUGCAUGGAAUUAUUAAAACUGAGCAUGGUUUGACGUAUAAUAAUCUCUUUAGGCACGAUGGUUUACAUUUCACAAAGCUGUUCAAUGACAAUAAAGACAAUAAGAUGUU
Molecule: long non-coding RNA, 625 nt
Organism: Ostrea edulis (European flat oyster)
Lineage: Eukaryota; Metazoa; Mollusca; Bivalvia; Ostreida; Ostreidae
Exons: 2
Source: RefSeq, a predicted model, not a curated record